GACGAACGCUGGCGGCGUGCUUAACACAUGCAAGUCGAACGGUGAAGCUCCAGCUUGCUGGAGUGGAUCAGUGGCGAACGGGUGAGUAACACGUGAGCAACCUGCCCCAGACUCUGGAAUAAGCGCUGGAAACGGCGUCUAAUACUGGAUACGAGAUCAAGCCGCAUGGUUAUGGUCUGGAAAGUUUUUCGGUUUGGGAUGGGCUCGCGGCCUAUCAGCUUGUUGGUGAGGUAAUGGCUCACCAAGGCGACGACGGGUAGCCGGCCUGAGAGGGCGACCGGCCACACUGGGACUGAGACACGGCCCAGACUCCUACGGGAGACAGCAGUGGGGAAUAUUGCACAAUGGGCGAAAGCCUGAUGCAGCGACGCCGCGUGAGGGAUGACGGCCUUCGGGUUGUAAACCUCUUUCAGCAGGGAAGAAGCGAAAGUGACGGUACCUGCAGAAGAAGCACCGGCUAACUACGUG
Molecule: ribosomal RNA, 468 nt
Filed under: uncultured bacterium
Lineage: Bacteria
Description: partial 16S ribosomal RNA
Rfam family: Bacterial small subunit ribosomal RNA
Source: RNAcentral